CUCUUCCAAGACGAUUGCACAUCUUAUUCUUCAGGAUAUUUGGCAUUUGAUGAGGAAUUGUACUUCCCUCGAUAUUCGUCAUGUCUAUCAGAAAGUUAACAGUGUUGCUGAUUGGAUGACUUCUUAUGUAGCUAAGCAUACGGAGGGAGACUGUAUGGACUGACGUAGGAGAUAUUCUACGGACGUUUUGAGAGACUCUUUCUUUUGAUUUUUUAGAUGUAUUCAUGUUAUAUUUGCAAAGAGUAAAGUUAAAUAAGUACAAUAUAGGGGA
RNAcentral lists this long non-coding RNA (271 nucleotides) under Elaeis guineensis (African oil palm). Its description in RNAcentral is "long non-coding RNA (EGUI_LNC004933)". Lineage: Eukaryota; Viridiplantae; Streptophyta; Magnoliopsida; Arecales; Arecaceae. The record is from RNAcentral.